Molecule: ribosomal RNA, 207 nt
Filed under: Leptocylindrus danicus
Lineage: Eukaryota; Bacillariophyta; Leptocylindrophyceae; Leptocylindrales; Leptocylindraceae
Description: partial Bacterial small subunit ribosomal RNA
Rfam family: Bacterial small subunit ribosomal RNA
Source: RNAcentral
GCGCAGAUAUCAGGAGGAACACCAGUGGCGAAGGCGGUUCUCUGGGCCUUUCCUGACGCUGAGGAGCGAAAGCGUGGGGAGCGAACAGGCUUAGAUACCCUGGUAGUCCACGCUGUAAACGGUGGGUACUAGGUGUGGGGUCCAUUCCACGGGUUCCGCGCCGUAGCUAACGCUUUAAGUACCCCGCCUGGGGAGUACGGCCGCAAG